Molecule: ribosomal RNA, 465 nt
Filed under: uncultured bacterium
Lineage: Bacteria
Description: partial 16S ribosomal RNA
Rfam family: Bacterial small subunit ribosomal RNA
Source: RNAcentral
GACGAACGCUGGCGGCGUGCUUAACACAUGCAAGUCGAACGGAAAGGCCCCUUUGGGGGUCCUCGAGUGGCGAACGGGUGCGUAACACGUGAGUAACCUUCCCUUGACUUCGGGAUAACUUCAGGAAACUGGGGCUAAUACCGGAUAGGAAUCCUUUCUGCAUGGUGGGGGUUGGAAAGCUUCGGCGGUUUUGGAUGGACUCGCGGCUUAUCAGCUUGUUGGUGGGGUAGUGGCUUACCAAGGCUUUGACGGGUAGCCGGCCUGAGAGGGCGACCGGCCACAUUGGGACUGAGAUACGGCCCAGACUCCUACGGGAGGCAGAAGUGGGGAAUAUUGCACAAGGGGCGGAAGCCUGAUGCAGCAACGCCGCGUGCGGGAUGACGGCCUUCGGGUUGUAAAACGCUUUCAGCAGGGGCGAAGCUUGUGGUGACGGUACCUGCAGAAGAAGCACCGGCUAACUACGUG